This 442-nucleotide ribosomal RNA is filed under the name uncultured bacterium. RNAcentral's name for it is "partial 16S ribosomal RNA". It matches the Rfam family "Bacterial small subunit ribosomal RNA", at positions 338 to 795 of the family's 1533-position model. The record is from RNAcentral.
CCUACGGGCGGCAGCAGUAGGGAAUCUUUCACAAUGGGCGAAAGCCUGAUGGAGCAACGCCGCGUGCAGGAUGAAGGCCUUCGGGUUGUAAACUGCUUUUAUAAGCGAGAAAUAUGAUGGUAACUUAUGAAUAAGGAUCGGCUAACUACGUGCCAGCAGCCGCGGUCAUACGUAGGAUCCGAGCAUUAUCCGGAGUGACUGGGUGUAAAGAGUUGCGUAGGUGGCAUAAUAAGUAGCUAGUGAAAUCUGGUGGCUCAACCAUUCAGACGAUUAGCUAAACUGUUAAGCUCGAGACCGUUAGGGGUAACUGGAAUUUCUAGUGUAGGAGUGAAAUGCGUAGAUAUUAGAAAGAACACCAAUAGCGUAGGCAGGUUACUGGGACGGUUCUGACACUAAGGCACGAAAGCGUAGGGAGCAAACGGGAUUAGAUACCCUUGUAGUC